This 4954-nucleotide long non-coding RNA is filed under the name Prunus persica (peach). RNAcentral's name for it is "long non-coding RNA (PPER_LNC003910)". The record is from RNAcentral. Lineage: Eukaryota; Viridiplantae; Streptophyta; Magnoliopsida; Rosales; Rosaceae.
GACAAGUGAAGCAGAGAUAACAUCCUCGAGCCAACAAAGAAGGAUUGAUGAGCUUGAAGCACAGCUCCAAGAGGCAGAGGAUAUCAUAACUGAUUUGAGAUCUGUUAAGGAAGAUACCUCCAUUAAUUAGGCAAUAUUGUAAAUUGAUACUGUAGUUAUUUGCUUCCUUAUUUAGUCUCUGAUCAAGCCUUGGUUAUAGGUGAUAGUUUAGGAUACUAUUGACUGAAUCAUUGUAUAAAGCUGUAAACCUAGUUGUGGAAUAAUAUAUCGAACAUUAUAAUCCCAUUCUAUGCUUCUCAUCAUGGUAUCAGAGCAAUAGAUAUCUGGGAAAAUAAAAGCAAACACACAAACACCCAAAACAACCUAGCAAACAUAGCCAUGGUUGAUAGCGCAGACAUGAAGUCAACCUCCUCAGGCAUGACUUCGCGUUCAAGGUGGGAGAGUCCUAAUCAUCCACUCUAUCUCCACUAUUCGGACCAGCCUGGUGCAGUACUUGUGCCACAGUCAUUGGUGGAAGACAAUUAUAGUACAUGGGUUCAAUCCAUGACCAUGGCCUUAACGGUCAAAAACAAAUUAGGGCUUGUUGAUGGGACGGUCAAGAAGCCAAAUGAAGAUGAACAUGAAGAAUUGCAGCAAUGGAAUCGAUGCAAUAACUUGGUUAAGACGUGGCUCUUAGGAUCCAUGUCAAAAGAAAUUUCAGGUAGCGUUAUCAACUGCAAGGAUGCACGGCAAAUGUGGCUCGAUUUGCAAGAAAGGUUUUCUCAUGUGAAUAUCGUUCAAUUGUUUCACAUAGAAAACGAGAUUCAUGACUGUGUGCAAGGUAACAUGACGGUGAGUUCAUAUUUCACCAAAUUAAAAGGCCUAUGGGACGAACGUGACGUGCUGUGCUCCAUCCCUGCAUGUAGUUGUGAUACAAAGAAGGAAAUCACUUCUUAUGUUGAAACCCAGAAAACAAUGAAAUUUCUCAUGGGUUUAAAUGAUUCCUAUUCCACUGUUCGUAGUAAUACCCUUCUUCUUGAGCCUUUACCCACAGUGAACAAGGCCUACUCUCUUGUUCUUCGCCAUGAGAGACAAGCAGAAAUCUCAAGUGGAAAGCAUACUCCCUCUUCUGAAGCGGCAGCUUUUGCUGUGAAGAAUAGUGGCCGAGAAACUGCACCAGAGGAUGGUGGUCUUCGCUGUGGAAAAUGUAACAAGACAAAUCACAGCACCCAAAACUGCCGUGCUCAUCUCAAGUGCACCUUCUGUGGGUGGAAAGGUCAUUCCUUCGAAUAUUGCCGCAAACGCAAAGCGGCUGCUGAAGCUGAACAAAGUCGCUCAUCCACUUCCAAGGGUAACCAAGUUGCCGUGCACGAAAAAAAGGACGGGAUGCCAAACUUUCCUAUGCCAAACUUUCCUUUUUCUCAAGAAGAUUGCAAGCAGAUGCUCGCAAUGUUGAGCAAAAACAGAUCCUCCUUUGCAAAUCAAGUUGGUAAUUCUUCGAAUAAUGAAGAACUUUCAGGUAAAGCUUUUUCCUUCAUGUAUAAUGGCAUAACAAAUGUUUGGAUCUUGGAUAGUGGUGCAACGGACCAUAUUGUUUGCAGUCCUCAUUGUCUCACGUCGUCGAGGUCUGUUGCAAACCAUACCGUAGAACUACCCACUGGUUCCCUUGCCACAGUUACCCACAUUGGACAAGUUGUCUUCUCUCCCAACCUUGUGCUCAAUAAUGUUUUGUGUGUACCAUUUUUCAAAUUAAAUUUGAUAUCCAUUAGCAAGCUUGCACAUGAUUCCCUUUAUAUUACCAUCUUCCUAAAACAAGUUUGUGUCACACAGGACCUACGCUCGGGGAAGAUGAUUGGGACGGGAAUUGAACGGGAGGGACUAUACUAUCUCGAUCCACCAAAGAAAGGAACAUGCAAUGCCAUUCAAACAUCCAACCAUCACCUUUGGCAUCAACGUCUAGGACAUCCAUCACAAACUGUUUCCAAGUUAUUUCCUUGUUUUCAACAUAAAUCUUGUGAUUCUAUUAAGUGUGUCAUCUGCCCAUUAGCCAAACAAACAAGAGCACCAUUUUCAUUGAGUUCUAUAUCCACUAAAUCAUGUUUUGAAUUGAUACAUGUUGAUAUCUGGGGGGGGUAUCAUGUCCCUUCUAUUUCUGGUGCAAAAUAUUUUCUUACUAUCGUUGAUGAUUACAGUAGGAGCACAUGGAUUUAUUUGAUGAAACACAAAUCUGACACACAACAGCUCCUUGUACAAUUCAUCCAUUUGGUCGAAACUCAAUUCGACACCAAAGUCAAAAUGAUUCGAAGCGAUAAUGGUCCCGAAUUUAACCUUGCCAGUUUUUAUGCCACACAAGGUAUCAUCCAUCAAACUAGCUGCGUUCACACACCACAACAAAAUGGUGUUGCUGAACGUAAGCAUCGCCAUUUACUCAAUGUUGCCCGAGCUCUACUCUUUCAAGCCAACAUGCCAAAAUGUUUUUGGGGGGACGCCAUCCUUGCUUCAGCCUAUCUUAUUAAUCGCACACCCACACCCCUUCUUCACGGGAAAACACCUUAUGAACAAUUGUUCCACAAAGCACCCAAUUACUCACAUUUACGAGUCUUUGGCUGUUUGUGUUUUGCUUCCACUCACGCACACAAACCUUCAAAAUUUGAUCCCCGUGCCCGUCGUUGUGUCUUCCUUGGCUACCCAUAUGGUACAAAGGGCUAUCGGUUAUUUGAUCUCCAACUCCACAAAGUGUUUGUCUCACGGGACGUGAUUUUUUUUGAAGACCAAUUCCCUUAUCACUCCGAUGUUUCCGCUGCUCAUAACCAAUCCCCCAAUCCACCCGCCUCCCUGUCGUACUUUGAUCUGGACUCUUUUCCUGCCCCAUCUCCUAUGUCACACGAUCCCCCUGCACCUUCCUCUCCAAUUUCCCCUAUCGCUUCCCUACCUUCACCUUCCCCCUCUUCGGCACUUACAUCCAUCCCUGUGCCUCCUUCGUCUCCGGACCCUACACCCCUCAGCCUACCACCCGUUUCGCCAACCGUCCUGCCAACCCCACCCCGACGUGGAACACGACCUACCAAACCCUCUUCUUUUUUGCAGGACUUUCAUAUCGAGGUCUCUCUCCCGUCCCGGUCUGCUCCCACAUCUUCUACGAACGUGGUUCAGUCUUCGUCAGGUACUUCCCAUCCUCUCUCCACUUAUUUAUCUUAUGAUCGUCUCUCACCCCACCAUAAAGCCUAUACCGCUAAUCUCACCCUCCUUAAGGAACCCACUAGUUUCUCGCAGGCUGUCCGAGAUCCAAACUGGUGUGCUGCCAUGCAGCAUGAAAUUGCUGCCCUUCAGGCCAAUCAUACAUGGACCCUCGUGCCUUUGCCGUUGCAUAAACGUCCCAUUGGCUGUAAAUGGGUUUACAAAAUUAAGCUCAAACCUGAUGGCACUCUUGAACGGUACAAAGCACGCCUCGUUGCAAAAGGUUACAGUCAAAUUGAAGGUGUUGAUUACCGUGAAACUUUUGCUCCGGUGGCUAAGUUAACCACAGUUCGCGUGCUCCUUAGCGUGGCUGCUGUGCAAGGUUGGCACCUCCAUCAACUGGAUGUGAACAAUGCUUUUUUAAAUGGUGAUCUCGAAGAGGAUGUAUACAUGACCUUGCCCCCUGGUUUCGGACGAAAGGGGGAGACUCGAGUAUGCAAAUUAAAUAAAUCCCUCUACGGUUUAAAGCAAGCUUCGAGACAAUGGUUCAUCAAGUUGUCCAAUGCUCUCAAGGCUGCUGGAUUUCAUCAAUCAUGGUCCGACUAUUCAUUAUUCGUCCGAAGUCGUCAUGGUAACUUCAUUGCUUUACUAGUCUAUGUUGAUGAUGUGAUACUAGCAGGGAAUAAUCUGCAUGAAAUUGAAGAAACCAAGCAAUUUCUAUCUCACCAUUUCAAAUUGAAAGACUUGGGGCAACUCAAAUAUUUCUUGGGCAUAGAAGUUGCACGAUCAAAGCGUGGAAUUACCCUAUGUCAACGAAAAUAUGCACUAGAAAUAUUGGAUGAUGCUGGGUUUCUAGGAGUUAAGCCUUCACGGUUUCCUGUGGAUCAAAAUUUGUCUCUCACACAAAUGGAAGGAAAGGUGUUGAAUGAUCCUUCAUCAUAUAGAAGGCUUGUGGGCAGGUUAAUAUACUUGACAAUAACAAGGCCUGACUUGGCUUAUGCUGUCCACAUGCUAAGUCAAUUCAUGGAGAAACCUCGGCAACCACAUCUUGAGGCUGCACACAAGGUCCUCAAGUACAUUAAACAAGCACCUGGACAAGGAAUUUUUCUCCCUUCCACGGGUUCAUUACAAUUACAAGCAUUUUGUGAUGCCGAUUGGGCUAGAUGUAGAGAUACUAGAAGGUCGAUAACGGGGUACUGUGUUUUGCUUGGUCAAGCACCUAUUUCCUGGAAAACUAAGAAACAAACAACUAUAUCUCGUUCUAGUGCAGAGGCUGAAUACCGUUCUAUGGCCACCACAUGUUGUGAAAUCAUAUGGCUGAAGAAUAUUCUGAAAGAUCUAGGAGUGAAACACCCACAACCAGCCAACCUGUUUUGUGACAAUCAAGCGGCAUUACACAUCGCUUCAAAUCCUGUUUUCCAUGAACGAACGAAGCACAUAGAGAUCGAUUGUCAUCUAGUACGAGAGAAGAUUCAAGAAGGAAUGAUACGCACGGCUUACAUAAGGACAAGUGAUCAACCAGCUGAUAUAUUCACCAAGCCGUUGAGUUCAACGCAGUUUGAAGUCUUACUUAGCAAGUUGGGUGUCAUUAACAUACACUCCAACUUGAGGGGGAGUGUUAAGGAAGAUACCUCCAUUAAUUAGGCAAUAUUGUAAAUUGAUACUGUAGUUAUUUGCUUCCUUAUUUAGUCUCUGAUCAAGCCUUGGUUAUAGGUGAUAGUUUAGGAUACUAUUGACUGAAUCAUUGUAUAAAGCUGUAAACCUAGUUGUGGAAUAAUAUAUCGAACAUUAUAAUCCC